This 628-nucleotide ribosomal RNA is filed under the name Triticum aestivum (bread wheat). RNAcentral describes it as "partial small subunit ribosomal RNA". The record is from RNAcentral. Lineage: Eukaryota; Viridiplantae; Streptophyta; Magnoliopsida; Poales; Poaceae.
CCCUAGCUCACUUUUCCUCCCCACUCUCGCCCCCUCCUCGCUCGAAGCCGUCGCCCGAGCUCUGUCAUCAACGUCUCCGUGUCGAUCCCGCGGCCACCGGCCAUCCCUCGUCGCUGCACCAUGUCGAGGAGCACCGCCGUCCUCUUCUUCAUCGACUGCAAGCGCCGAUUCCAGCUGGAGCCUCUCUGAGCCGUCGCAAUCGUCGUCUCCGUCGACUACAUCCACCACUGUCGUCGCUCGAUCUACCGCCGUCGACGCCUCCUCGACCCUCUCCGGCCUCUCCCUGGCUCGGUGACCCCGAGGCUACCGGUGACCCCCAGUUCGACUACGGUGUUGACGACCCGUCCUUCUUGCCAGAGCAACCAGAUGCCGGAGCCCAGGAGCCAGACGCCACCGUCGACGACGACUCCUACUACACCGGAGGUGCCUACUACUACGUGCAGCCCGCUGAUGACGACCAGGAGUAGUUAGGAGGAUCCCAGGCAGGAGGCAUGCGCCUCUUUCGAUCUGUAUCCCAGUUUGUGCUAGCCUUCUUAAGGCAAACUUGUUUAACUUAUGUCUGUACUCAGAUAUUGUUGCUUCCGCUGACUCGUCUAUGAUCAAGCACUUGUAUUCGAGCCCUCGAGGC